Molecule: transfer RNA, 85 nt
Filed under: Felis catus (domestic cat)
Lineage: Eukaryota; Metazoa; Chordata; Mammalia; Carnivora; Felidae
Rfam family: tRNA
About the family: Transfer RNA (tRNA) molecules are approximately 80 nucleotides in length. Their secondary structure includes four short double-helical elements and three loops (D, anti-codon, and T loops).
Source: Rfam by way of RNAcentral
GCCUGGGUGGCUCAGUUGGUUGAGCGUCUGACUUCGGCUCAGGUCAUGAUCUCACAGUUUGUGAGUUCAAGCCCCGCGUCGGGCU